AGCGGCGGACGGGUGAGUAACACGUGGGUAACCUGCCCAAGAGACUGGGAUAACACCUGGAAACAGAUGCUAAUACCGGAUAACAACACUAGACGCAUGUCUAGAGUUUGAAAGAUGGUUCUGCUAUCACUCUUGGAUGGACCUGCGGUGCAUUAGCUAGUUGGUAAGGUAACGGCUUACCAAGGCAAUGAUGCAUAGCCGAGUUGAGAGACUGAUCGGCCACAUUGGGACUGAGACACGGCCCAAACUCCUACGGGAGGCAGCAGUAGGGAAUCUUCCACAAUGGACGAAAGUCUGAUGGAGCAACGCCGCGUGAGUGAAGAAGGGUUUCGGCUCGUAAAGCUCUGUUGGUAGUGAAGAAAGAUAGAGGUAGUAACUGGCCUUUAUUUGACGGUAAUUACUUAGAAAGUCACGGCUAACUACGUGCCAGCAGCCGCGGUAAUACGUAGGUGGCAAGCGUUGUCCGGAUUUAUUGGGCGUAAAGCGAGCGCAGGCGGAAAAAUAAGUCUAAUGUGAAAGCCCUAGGCUUAACCGAGGAACUGCAUCGGAAACUGUUUUUCUUGAGUGCAGAAGAGGAGAGUGGAACUCCAUGUGUAGCGGUGGAAUGCGUAGAUAUAUGGAAGAACACCAGUGGCGAAGGCGGCUCUCUGGUCUGCAACUGACGCUGAGGCUCGAAAGCAUGGGUAGCGAGCAGGAUUAGAUACCCUGGUAGUCCAUGCCGUAAACGAUGAGUGCUAAGUGU
This 742-nucleotide ribosomal RNA is filed under the name uncultured bacterium. RNAcentral's name for it is "bacterial SSU rRNA". It matches the Rfam family "Bacterial small subunit ribosomal RNA", at positions 94 to 823 of the family's 1533-position model. The record is from RNAcentral.